RNAcentral lists this ribosomal RNA (495 nucleotides) under uncultured bacterium. RNAcentral's name for it is "partial 16S ribosomal RNA". It matches the Rfam family "Bacterial small subunit ribosomal RNA", at positions 28 to 507 of the family's 1533-position model. The record is from RNAcentral.
GACGAACGCUGGCGGCGUGCCUAAUACAUGCAAGUAGAACGCUGAAGGAGGAGCUUGCUCUUCUGGAUGAGUUGCGAACGGGUGAGUAACGCGUAGGUAACCUGCCUGGUAGCGGGGGAUAACUAUUGGAAACGAUAGCUAAUACCGCAUAACAGUAGAUGUUGCAUGACAUUUGCUUAAAAGGUGCAAUUGCACCACUACCAGAUGGACCUGCGUUGUAUUAGCUAGUUGGUGGGGUAACGGCUCACCAAGGCGACGAUACAUAGCCGACCUGAGAGGGUGAUCGGCCACACUGGGACUGAGACACGGCCCAGACUCCUACGGGAGGCAGCAGUAGGGAAUCUUCGGCAAUGGACGGAAGUCUGACCGAGCAACGCCGCGUGAGUGAAGAAGGGUUUCGGACCGUAAAGCUCUGUUGUAAGAGAAGAACGAGUGUGAGAGUGGAAAGUUCACACUGUGACGGUAUCUUACCAGAAAGGGACGGCUAACUACGUG